RNAcentral lists this ribosomal RNA (301 nucleotides) under uncultured bacterium. Its description in RNAcentral is "partial 16S ribosomal RNA". It matches the Rfam family "Bacterial small subunit ribosomal RNA", at positions 509 to 809 of the family's 1533-position model. The record is from RNAcentral.
CAGCCGCCACGGGAAAACGGAGGGAGCUAGCGUUGUUCGGAAUUACUGGGCGUAAAGCGCACGUAGGCGGCUUUGUAAGUUAGAGGUGAAAGCCUGGAGCUCAACUCCAGAAUUGCCUUUAAGACUGCAUCGCUUGAAUCCAGGAGAGGUGAGUGGAAUUCCGAGUGUAGAGGUGAAAUUCGUAGAUAUUCGGAAGAACACCAGUGGCGAAGGCGGCUCACUGGACUGGUAUUGACGCUGAGGUGCGAAAGCGUGGGGAGCAAACAGGAUUAGAUACCCCCGUAGUCCCUGUCUCUUAUAA